This 340-nucleotide RNase P RNA is filed under the name pig gut metagenome. RNAcentral's name for it is "Bacterial RNase P class A". It matches the Rfam family "Bacterial RNase P class A". From Rfam's summary of the family: Ribonuclease P (RNase P) is a ubiquitous endoribonuclease, found in archaea, bacteria and eukarya as well as chloroplasts and mitochondria. Its best characterised activity is the generation of mature 5'-ends of tRNAs by cleaving the 5'-leader elements of precursor-tRNAs. The record is from RNAcentral.
AGUCGGACAGGUGUUCGCGGCUGUACUUUGGUACAGGUGAGGAAAGUCCGGGCUUCGCAGGGCAGGAUGCCGGAUAACGUCCGGUGGAGGUGACUCCCAGGCUAGUGCAACAGAGAUAUACCGCUCCGGGUGACCGGAGUAAGGGUGGAAAGGCAGUGUAAGAGACUACCGUCCUGCUGGUAACAGCAGGAGCCAUGUAAACCCCAUCCGAAGCAAGGUCAAAUAGAGAACAAUAGGCUUGCCCGGUCUGUUCUCAGGUGGACCGCUUGAGACUGUUGGCGACAGCAGUCCUAGAUAGAUGAACAUCCAACGACAUAACCCGGCUUAUCGUCCGGCUUAU